Transfer RNA from Felis catus (domestic cat), 85 nucleotides. It matches the Rfam family "tRNA". From Rfam's summary of the family: Transfer RNA (tRNA) molecules are approximately 80 nucleotides in length. Their secondary structure includes four short double-helical elements and three loops (D, anti-codon, and T loops). Further hydrogen bonds mediate the characteristic L-shaped molecular structure. tRNAs have two regions of fundamental functional importance: the anti-codon, which is responsible for specific mRNA codon recognition, and the 3' end, to which the tRNAs corresponding amino acid is attached (by aminoacyl-tRNA synthetases). tRNAs cope with the degeneracy of the genetic code in two manners: having more than one tRNA (with a specific anti-codon) for a particular amino acid; and 'wobble' base-pairing, i.e. permitting non-standard base-pairing at the 3rd anti-codon position. NCBI's taxonomy places the organism in Eukaryota, Metazoa, Chordata, Mammalia, Carnivora, Felidae. The record is from Rfam.
ACCUGGCUGGCUCAGUCGGUUGAGCAUCUGACUUUGGCUCGGGUCAUGAGCUCAUGGUUCGUGGGUUCAAGCCCCGCGUCGGGCU